This 482-nucleotide ribosomal RNA is filed under the name uncultured bacterium. Its description in RNAcentral is "partial 16S ribosomal RNA". It matches the Rfam family "Bacterial small subunit ribosomal RNA", at positions 30 to 507 of the family's 1533-position model. The record is from RNAcentral.
AUUGAACGCUGGCGGCAUGCCUUACACAUGCAAGUCGAACGGUAACAGGUCUUCGGAUGCUGACGAGUGGCGAACGGGUGAGUAAUACAUCGGAACGUGCCCAGACGUGGGGGAUAACGAGGCGAAAGCUUUGCUAAUACCGCAUACGAUCUAAGGAUGAAAGCAGGGGACCGCAAGGCCUUGCGCGUUUGGAGCGGCCGAUGGCAGAUUAGGUAGUUGGUGGGAUAAAAGCUUACCAAGCCGACGAUCUGUAGCUGGUCUGAGAGGACGACCAGCCACACUGGGACUGAGACACGGCCCAGACUCCUACGGGAGGCAGCAGUGGGGAAUUUUGGACAAUGGGCGAAAGCCUGAUCCAGCAAUGCCGCGUGCAGGAUGAAGGCCUUCGGGUUGUAAACUGCUUUUGUACGGAACGAAAAGGCUCUGGCUAAUACCUGGGGCACGUGACGGUACCGUAAGAAUAAGCACCGGCUAACUACGUG